AGUGAACGCUGGCGGUAGGCCUAACACAUGCAAGUCGAACGGCAGCACAGUAAGAGCUUGCUCUUACGGGUGGCGAGUGGCGGACGGGUGAGGAAUACAUCGGAAUCUACUUUUUCGUGGGGGAUAACGUAGGGAAACUUACGCUAAUACCGCAUACGACCUACGGGUGAAAGCAGGGGAUCUUCGGACCUUGCGCGAUUGAAUGAGCCGAUGUCGGAUUAGCUAGUUGGCGGGGUAAAGGCCCACCAAGGCGACGAUCCGUAGCUGGACUGAGAGGAUGAUCAGCCACACUGGAACUGAGACACGGUCCAGACGCCUACGGGAGGCAGCAGUGGGGAAUAUUGGACAAUGGGCGCAAUCCUGAUCCAGCCAUACCGCGUGGGUGAAGAAGGCCUUCGGGUUGUAAAGCCCUUUUGUUGGGAAAGAAAAGCAGCAGGUUAAUACCCCGCUGUUCUGACGGUACCCAAAGAAUAAGCACCGGCUAACUUCGUG
This 492-nucleotide ribosomal RNA is filed under the name uncultured bacterium. Its description in RNAcentral is "partial 16S ribosomal RNA". It matches the Rfam family "Bacterial small subunit ribosomal RNA", at positions 29 to 507 of the family's 1533-position model. The record is from RNAcentral.